This 486-nucleotide ribosomal RNA is filed under the name Phragmidium zhouquensis. RNAcentral describes it as "partial large subunit ribosomal RNA". It matches the Rfam family "Eukaryotic large subunit ribosomal RNA", at positions 120 to 607 of the family's 3401-position model. The record is from RNAcentral. Lineage: Eukaryota; Fungi; Basidiomycota; Pucciniomycetes; Pucciniales; Phragmidiaceae.
AUCUGGCUCUUUCAGAGUCCGAGUUGUAAUUUUGAGAACUGUUUUCCGUGCUGGACCAUUUCUAAGUCUGUUGAAAAAUAGCAUCAUUGAGGGUGAUAAUCCCGUUCAUGAUAUGGACUACCAGUUGCAAUGUGAUACAGUUUUUAAGAGUCGAGUUGUUUGGGAAUGCAGCUCAAAGUGGGUGGUAAAUUCCAUCUAAGGCUAAAUAUAGGUGAGAGACCGAUAGCAUACAAGUACCGUGAGGGAAAGAUGAAAAGAACUUUGGAAAGAGAGUUAACAGUACGUGAAAUUGUUGUAAGGGAAACAUUUAAAGUUAGCCUUGUGCUUGUUAGUUCAGCUCUUUUACUAGGGUGUAUUCUAAUGAUGUCACGGACCAACAUCAGUUUUUGGGUGCUGGAUAAGGGUUCCAGAAAUGUAGCAGUCUUGGCUGUGUUAUAGUCUGGGAUUUGGAUACAGUGCUUGGGACUGAGGAUAUUUGCGGCAAGC